AACCUUAUGGACCUGCGGGCGUAUACCUGCGGAAGGAUCAUUACUGAGUGCGGGCCCUCUGGGUCCAACCUCCCACCCGUGUUUACCAUACCUAGUUGCUUCGGCGGGCCCGCCGUUCAACGGCCGCCGGGGGGCAUCUGCCCCCGGGCCCGCGCCCGCCGAAGACACCCUCGAACGCUGUCUGAAGGUUGCAGUCUGAGCUUGAUUAGCAAAUCAAUCAAAACUUUUAACAACGGAUCU
RNAcentral lists this unclassified non-coding RNA (240 nucleotides) under soil metagenome. Its description in RNAcentral is "partial contains 5.8S ribosomal RNA, internal transcribed spacer 2, and large subunit ribosomal RNA". The record is from RNAcentral.